This is a long non-coding RNA of Homo sapiens (human), 1126 nucleotides long. Ensembl annotates it as long intergenic non-protein coding RNA 1684. NCBI's taxonomy places the organism in Eukaryota, Metazoa, Chordata, Mammalia, Primates, Hominidae. The record is from Ensembl.
AGGUUUAGAUGAAUGGAAAAUGAACUUGCCAGUUCACAGCUAUGUCCUUCCCAAUUUAGGAGGUUAAGGGCAGGAAAAACAUGAGAAACUCUUUUGAGAAGCUGCACAAGCUGACAUGGAGGAUCAAGGAUUUCAAAAGCUUUGAAUAUAAAGAGGUGUCAGACUUACAUCAGAGCCUGAGACUUGACAUGCCUAUUUUUGCACUCGCUCAUUUUUCAAAUUUCAUAGGCAUUGCUCCCUCCAAAUCACCGCUCUUCUAAUUUUAUCCUGGAGUGUGCAUCCCAGAAGACAUAAGCUGACACAAUUGGGAACUGAAGUUGCUUGAAAAAGCUGGUGGGAUCAGCAUCAUAUAUCACUAUUUCUCAAAGAUUAUCUGGUCUCUUGAUGGCAAAUCUACAAUAUUGAAACCUUUGAAAGAGAAAUUGUGUUUUGUGAGUUACAUGACUACCGUUUGCAUCCAAGGUCUCCUCUGUAGUCAAGAGAAGAAUGCAGAAACUACAUGUCCAAGAAUCUCUUUCCAGACUCUAGACAGCUUAUACGUAUUUGGACAAGGCAACGUGAUGAAGAAAUAAUAUAAUUGUAGGAUCACCUCUGUCCAGUAGCUGUUAUCCAACAUCUGCAUACUUAGAUUUCUGGAGAGCCCUAUGCCUUCACAAGAACAAGUUCCCACACCAGGGUCAAGAAGGAAACCGUAAGUCAAGACAAAAGUGCCCAGUGAAGGCAGAAGAUGAGGGGUCUCAGGUUGCAUCUUCGGAGGCACGAGGAUUCAAAGGUGAACAAAGCACACAGUACAUCAUUUGAUGUGAUGGAGUCUCGCUCUGUUGCCUAGGCUGGAGUAUACUGGCAUGAUCUCGCCUCACUGCAAGCUCUGCCUCCCAGGUUCACGUCAUUCUCCUGCCUCAGCCUCCCGAGUAGCUGGGACUACAGGAGCGUGUCACCACGCCCGGCUAAUUUUUUUUUGUAGUUUUAGUGGAGACUGGGUUUCACCAUGUUAACCAGGAAGAUUUUUGCAUGCUGAAUAUUUAUAAACUUUAUUGUAUGCAGUUUUCUUGCCAAUCCUCUAUUCCUCCCUACACAAAUCAAAAAUGUCCAAUAUAUUUUACAUAAAAGAAAUCUAAAAUCAAAA